GAUGAACGCUGGCGGCGUGCUUAACACAUGCAAGUCGAACGAACGACUAUUAACAGAACCUUUCGGGGCGAAGAUGAUAGAAGUUAGUGGCGGACGGGUGCGUAACGCGUGGGUAAUCUGCCUUUGUCAAAGGAAUAACUAUUCGAAAGAAUAGCUAAAACCGUAUAACAUAUUAAUAGGGCAUCCUAAUAAUAUCAAAACGAUAGUGGACAAAGAUGAGCCCGCGUCUGAUUAGCUAGUUGGUGAGAUAAAAGCCCACCAAGGCAACGAUCAGUAGCCGACCUGAGAGGGUGAACGGCCACAUUGGAACUGAGACACGGCCCAAACUCCUACGGGAGGCAGCAGUGGGGAAUAUUGCACAAUGGGGGGAACCCUGAUGCAGCAACGCCGCGUGAGUGAAGAAGGC
Molecule: ribosomal RNA, 406 nt
Filed under: Filifactor alocis
Lineage: Bacteria; Bacillati; Bacillota; Clostridia; Peptostreptococcales; Filifactoraceae
Description: bacterial SSU rRNA
Rfam family: Bacterial small subunit ribosomal RNA
Source: RNAcentral